This 265-nucleotide ribosomal RNA is filed under the name uncultured archaeon. Its description in RNAcentral is "partial 16S ribosomal RNA". It matches the Rfam family "Archaeal small subunit ribosomal RNA", at positions 719 to 982 of the family's 1478-position model. The record is from RNAcentral.
ACACGACUACAUUAGAUACCCGUGUAGUCCCAGCCCUAAACGAUGCGCGUUAGGUGUAUCGGUGACCACGAGUCACCGAGGUGCCGAAGGGAAACCGUGAAACGUGCCGCCUGGGAAGUACGGUCGCAAGGCUGAAACUUAAAGGAAUCGGCGGGGGAGCACCACAACGGGUGGAGCUUGCGGUUUAAUUGGAUUCAACGCCGGAAAUCUUACCGGGACCGACAGCAACAUGAAGGCCAGGCUGAAGACUUUGCCGGAUUAGCUG